ACGGGGGGAGCAAGCGUUGUUCGGAUUUACUGGGCGUAAAGGGCGCGUAGGCGGCCACCGCAAGUCGACUGUGAAAUCUCCGGGCUUAACCCGGAAAGGUCAGCCGAUACUGCGGGGCUAGAGUGCAGAAGGGGCAACUGGAAUUCUCGGUGUAGCGGUGAAAUGCGUAGAUAUCGGGAGGAAUACCAGUGGCGAAGGCGGCCUUCUGGACUGACACUGACGCUGAGGCGCGAAAGCCAGGGGAGCAAACGGGA
This 254-nucleotide ribosomal RNA is filed under the name uncultured prokaryote. Its description in RNAcentral is "partial 16S ribosomal RNA". It matches the Rfam family "Bacterial small subunit ribosomal RNA", at positions 525 to 777 of the family's 1533-position model. The record is from RNAcentral.